Molecule: ribosomal RNA, 641 nt
Filed under: uncultured Actinomycetes bacterium
Lineage: Bacteria; Bacillati; Actinomycetota; Actinomycetes
Description: bacterial SSU rRNA
Rfam family: Bacterial small subunit ribosomal RNA
Source: RNAcentral
CGCGGCCUAUCAGCUUGUUGGUGAGGUAAUGGCUCACCAAGGCGACGACGGGUAGCCGGCCUGAGAGGGCGACCGGCCACACUGGGACUGAGACACGGCCCAGACUCCUACGGGAGGCAGCAGUAGGGAAUAUUGGGCAAUAGGCGCAAGCCUGACCCAGCGACGCCGCGUGAGGGAUGAAGGUCUUCGGAUUGUAAACCUCUUUCAGUAGGGAAGAAGCGAAAGUGACGGUACCUAAAGAAGAAGCACCGGCUAACUAUGUGCCAGCAGCCGCGGUAAUACAUAGGGUGCAAGCGUUGUCCGGAAUUAUUGGGCGUAAAGAGCUCGUAGGUCAUUUGUCGCGUCGAUUGUGAAAAUCUGAGGCUCAACCUCAGACCUGCAGUCGAUACGGGCAAACUAGAGUGUGGUAGGGGAGACUGGAAUUCCUGGUGUAGCGGUGAAAUGCGCAGAUAUCAGGAGGAACACCAAUGGCGAAGGCAGGUCUCUGGGCCAUAACUGACACUGAGGAACGAAAGUGCGGGGAGCGAACAGGAUUAGAUACCCUGGUAGUCCGCACCGUAAACGGUGGGCACUAGUUGUGGGAACCUUCCACGGUUUCCGCGACGCAGCAAACGCAUUAAGUGCCCCGCCUGGGGAGUACG